This 571-nucleotide small RNA is filed under the name Histoplasma capsulatum. RNAcentral describes it as "hypothetical RNA". Lineage: Eukaryota; Fungi; Ascomycota; Eurotiomycetes; Onygenales; Ajellomycetaceae. The record is from RNAcentral. RNAcentral also lists the same sequence under 1 other name.
UUCAACUUCUGACAGAGCUGACAACGCUGUCUCUUGCCUCUGACACACUCAUGAUUUUGUGGAACUGUCUUGUUGCAAUUCUCACAAGUGAUAGCCAACGAUUUUCCUAGGCACUGAUUCUUCACAUGGUUGGAAUAGUCCUUUGACCGAAUAGUUUUCUCACAGAGUGUGCACUGUUUGCUUGGCGGGGCCAUUGAUCCAAGCUGAUUUGAAAAACGAUAAGUGGUGGCAGAUGGCGGCGGAGAUGGAGGAGAUGGAGAUGGCGAUGGCGAUGGCGAUGGCGAUGGCGAUGGCGAUGGCGAUGGAGAUGGAGAUGGAGAUGGAGAUGGAGAUGGAGAUGGAGAUGGAGAUGGAGAUGGAGAUGGAGAUGGAGAUGGAGAUGGAGAUGGAGAUGGCGAUGGAGAUGGAGAUGGAGAUGGAGAUGGAGAUGGAGAUGGAGAUGGAGAUGGAGAUGGAGAUGGAGAUGGCGAUGGAGAUGGAGAUGGAGAUGAACAGGAGCCCGGAUAGCAACACUAGCGAUAAGCUGACAACACAUUCCACUGCUUUCACCAAUAGGGAGAAUGCAUUUCAA